Alosa sapidissima (American shad) is the source of this 93-nucleotide long non-coding RNA. RefSeq lists it as uncharacterized. Lineage: Eukaryota; Metazoa; Chordata; Actinopteri; Clupeiformes; Clupeidae. The transcript is spliced from 3 exons. The record is from RefSeq and is a predicted model, not a curated record.
AUUUUACAGGUCUAGGCAACCCACCACCUCCCCUCACGCCUCCCAUCUUCCUAGAUUAGGAAUAGCAUAGGGGUGUACGCAUGGAUGCUUGAC